This 253-nucleotide ribosomal RNA is filed under the name uncultured bacterium. Its description in RNAcentral is "partial 16S ribosomal RNA". It matches the Rfam family "Bacterial small subunit ribosomal RNA", at positions 524 to 776 of the family's 1533-position model. The record is from RNAcentral.
GACAGAGGGUGCAAACGUUGUUCGGAAUUACUGGGCGUAAAGCGCGCGUAGGCGGUUACUCAAGUCGGAUGUGAAAGCCCUCGGCUUAACUGAGGAAGUGCACCCGAAACUGAGUAGCUAGAGUACUAAAGAGGGUCGCGGAAUUCCCGGUGUAGAGGUGAAAUUCGUAGAUAUCGGGAGGAACACCGGUGGCGAAGGCGGCGACCUGGGUAGAUACUGACGCUGAGGCGCGAAAGCGUGGGGAGCAAACAGG